This 73-nucleotide transfer RNA is filed under the name Dipodomys ordii (Ord's kangaroo rat). It matches the Rfam family "tRNA". From Rfam's summary of the family: Transfer RNA (tRNA) molecules are approximately 80 nucleotides in length. Their secondary structure includes four short double-helical elements and three loops (D, anti-codon, and T loops). Further hydrogen bonds mediate the characteristic L-shaped molecular structure. tRNAs have two regions of fundamental functional importance: the anti-codon, which is responsible for specific mRNA codon recognition, and the 3' end, to which the tRNAs corresponding amino acid is attached (by aminoacyl-tRNA synthetases). tRNAs cope with the degeneracy of the genetic code in two manners: having more than one tRNA (with a specific anti-codon) for a particular amino acid; and 'wobble' base-pairing, i.e. permitting non-standard base-pairing at the 3rd anti-codon position. The record is from Rfam by way of RNAcentral. Lineage: Eukaryota; Metazoa; Chordata; Mammalia; Rodentia; Heteromyidae.
GGGAAGGUGGCUCAGUGUGGUAGAGCACUUGCCUUGCAUGCAUGAGACCCUGGGUUCGAUUCCUUCAGGCCCC